CCUACGGGAGGCAGCAGUGGGGGAUAUUGCACAAUGGGGGAAACCCUGAUGCAGCGACGCCGCGUGGGUGAAGAAGCGCCUCGGCGCGUAAAGCCCUGUCAGCAGGGAAGAAAAUGACGGUACCUGAAGAAGAAGCCCCGGCUAACUACGUGCCAGCCGCCGCGGUAAUACGUAGGGGGCAAGCGUUAUCCGGAUUUAAUGGGUGUAAAGGGGGCGCAGGCGGCGAUGCAAGCCAGGAGGGAAAGCCCGGGGCCCAACCCCGGGACUGCUCUUGGAACUGCGUGGCUAGAGUGCAGGAGGGGCAGGCGGAAUUCCUGGUGUAGCGGUGAAAUGCGUAGAUAUCAGGAGGAACACCGGUGGCGAAGGCGGCCUGCUGGACUGCAACUGACGUUGAGGCCCGAAAGCGUGGGGAGCAAACAGGAUUAGAUACCCCAGUAGUC
This 440-nucleotide ribosomal RNA is filed under the name uncultured bacterium. Its description in RNAcentral is "partial 16S ribosomal RNA". It matches the Rfam family "Bacterial small subunit ribosomal RNA", at positions 338 to 795 of the family's 1533-position model. The record is from RNAcentral.